This is a non-coding RNA of Pipistrellus kuhlii (Kuhl's pipistrelle), 160 nucleotides long. RefSeq annotates it as small Cajal body-specific RNA 3. The transcript has a single exon. The record is from RefSeq and is a predicted model, not a curated record. NCBI's taxonomy places the organism in Eukaryota, Metazoa, Chordata, Mammalia, Chiroptera, Vespertilionidae.
UUGGGCACCAGCAUCUGCAAAGUGUGUGUGGUGUGGAUAUCAGGGUCAGGUUAACCUUGCUUUCCAUCACGGAUUCAAUAAACAUGGAGCAGUGAUCCUACAUAAACAUGGAGGUCUCUGGUUUAGCACAGCUAAGUCUGAUUGUUCCCCUCCAUACAAG